CAGGCUUAACACAUGCAAGUCGAGGGGCAGCAUGGUCUUAGCUUGCUAAGGCCGAUGGCGACCGGCGCACGGGUGAGUAACGCGUAUCCAACCUGCCUUACACUCUUGGACAGCCUUCUGAAAGGGAGAUUAAUACAAGAUGUUAUCAUGAGUAAGCAUUUUCGCAUGAUUAAAGGUUUACCGGUGUAAGAUGGGGAUGCGUUCCAUUAGAUAGUAGGCGGGGUAACGGCCCACCUAGUCUUCGAUGGAUAGGGGUUCUGAGAGGAAGGUCCCCCACAUUGGAACUGAGACACGGUCCAAACUCCUACGGGAGGCAGCAGUGAGGAAUAUUGGUCAAUGGACGAGAGUCUGAACCAGCCAAGUAGCGUGAAGGAUGAAGGUUCUAUGGAUUGUAAACUUCUUUUAUACGGGAAUAAACGAAUCCACGUGUGGAUUUUUGCAUGUACCGUAUGAAUAAGGAUCGGCUAACUCCGUGCCAGCAGCCGCGGUAAUACGGAGGAUCCGAGCGUUAUCCGGAUUUAUUGGGUUUAGAGGGAGCGUAGAUGGGUUGUUAAGUCAGUUGUGAAAGUUUGCGGCUCAACCGUAAAAUUGCAAUUGAUACUGGCAGUCUUGAGUACAGUUGAGGUAGGCGGAAUUCGUGGUGUAGCGGUGAAAUGCUUAGAUAUCACGAAGAACUCCGAUUGCGAAGGCAGCUUACUAACCUGUAACUGACAUUGAUGCUCGAAAGUGUGGGUAUCAAACAGGAUUAGAUACCCUGGUAGUCCACACGGUAAACGAUGAAUACUCGCUGUAGGCGAUAUACAGUCUGCGGCCAAGCGAAAGCAUUAAGUAUUCCACCUGGGGAGUACGCCGGCAACGGUGAAACUCAAAGGAAUUGACGGGGGCCCGCACAAGCGGAGGAACAUGUGGUUUAAUUCGAUGAUACGCGAGGAACCUUACCCGGGCUUAAAUUGCAACCGAAUAUGGCGGAAACGCUAUAGCUAGCAAUAGCGGUUGUGAAGGUGCUGCAUGGUUGUCGUCAGCUCGUGCCGUGAGGUGUCGGCUUAAGUGCCAUAACGAGCGCAACCCUUGCCGAUAGUUACUAACAGGUCAUGCUGAGGACUCUGUCGGGACUGCCAUCGUAAGAUGUGAGGAAGGUGGGGAUGACGUCAAAUCAGCACGGCCCUUACGUCCGGGGCUACACACGUGUUACAAUGGGGGGUACAGAGGGCUGCUACCACGCAAGUGGAUGCCAAUCCCAAAAACCUCUCUCAGUUCGGAUUGAAGUCUGCAACCCGACUUCAUGAAGCUGGAUUCGCUAGUAAUCGCGCAUCAGCCACGGCGCGGUGAAUACGUUCCCGGGCCUUGUACACACCGCCCGUCAAGCCAUGGGAGCCGGGGGUACCUGAAGUGCGUAACCGCAAGGAGCGCCCUAGGGUAAAACUGGUGACUGGGGCUAAGUCGUA
This 1445-nucleotide ribosomal RNA is filed under the name uncultured organism. RNAcentral's name for it is "16S ribosomal RNA". It matches the Rfam family "Bacterial small subunit ribosomal RNA". The record is from RNAcentral.